UACGUAGGGUCCGAGCGUUGUCCGGAAUUAUUGGGCGUAAAGGGCUCGUAGGCGGUUUGUCGCGUCGGGUGUGAAAACGCCGGGCUUAACCCGGUGCUUGCUUUCGAUACGGGCAGACUGGAGGUAUGCAGGGGAGAACGGAAUUCCUGGUGUAGCGGUGAAAUGCGCAGAUAUCAGGAGAAACACCGGUGGCGAAGGCGGUUCUCUGGGCAUGACCUGACGCUGAGGAGCGAAAGUGUGGGGAGCGAACAGG
This 253-nucleotide ribosomal RNA is filed under the name uncultured bacterium. RNAcentral's name for it is "partial 16S ribosomal RNA". It matches the Rfam family "Bacterial small subunit ribosomal RNA", at positions 524 to 776 of the family's 1533-position model. The record is from RNAcentral.